This is a non-coding RNA of Arachis ipaensis, 260 nucleotides long. The record is from RefSeq and is a predicted model, not a curated record. Lineage: Eukaryota; Viridiplantae; Streptophyta; Magnoliopsida; Fabales; Fabaceae.
AAAAUACGAACGAGGAGAGCUCUUAUGUUUGCAAAUCAGCUGUUGCUACUGCAGAGAACAGAGUUUCUAAAUUCUAAGGGGAAAUGACACUAACACAACUCCAAAGACAACAACGCGUUUAAUUGAUUCUGGUCUUGCCGUUGCUCUUGUCUCUCAACAACAGCACUAUCAUCAUGCCUUUGAUUUAACCUCAACGCUGGGAAUGGGGAACUUCUAGUUGUGGACUCCAAUGAUCAAACUAAGCUUAAACAUGAGGAUCA